RNAcentral lists this non-coding RNA (222 nucleotides) under Ascidiaceihabitans donghaensis. Lineage: Bacteria; Pseudomonadati; Pseudomonadota; Alphaproteobacteria; Rhodobacterales; Paracoccaceae. The record is from RNAcentral.
GUUACAGCUAAAGGGCUUGGUUUUUGUGCGUGCAGUCUAUCGCUGCACGUCCAAACGAAGAGGGAAUUGGGUAAGGAUGCAAAUCCAAAGCUCAAGCCGCCCCCGCGACUGUAAGCGCAGAGCGGAUCUCAACGAUACCACUCGGGCCGAGAUGGCUUGGGGAAGGUCGGGAUCCGCAACGACACGUGAGCCAGGAGACCUGCCGGGCACAAAUGAAACAAA